This 832-nucleotide ribosomal RNA is filed under the name Cordyceps javanica. Its description in RNAcentral is "partial large subunit ribosomal RNA". It matches the Rfam family "Eukaryotic large subunit ribosomal RNA", at positions 71 to 935 of the family's 3401-position model. Lineage: Eukaryota; Fungi; Ascomycota; Sordariomycetes; Hypocreales; Cordycipitaceae. The record is from RNAcentral.
GGGAUUGCCCCAGUAACGGCGAGUGAAGCGGCAACAGCUCAAAUUUGAAAUCUGGCCCUCGGGUCCGAGUUGUAAUUUGUAGAGGAUGCUUUUGGCGAGGUGCCUUCCGAGUUCCCUGGAACGGGACGCCAUAGAGGGUGAGAGCCCCGUCUGGUCGGACACCGAGCCUCUGUAAAGCUCCUUCGACGAGUCGAGUAGUUUGGGAAUGCUGCUCAAAAUGGGAGGUAUAUGUCUUCUAAAGCUAAAUAUUGGCCAGAGACCGAUAGCGCACAAGUAGAGUGAUCGAAAGAUGAAAAGCACUUUGAAAAGAGGGUUAAAAAGUACGUGAAAUUGUUGAAAGGGAAGCGCCUAUGACCAGACUUGAGCCCGGUGAAUCAUCCAGCGUUCUCGCUGGUGCACUUUGCCGGGCCCAGGCCAGCAUCAGUUUGGCGCGGGGGAUAAAGGUGACGGGAAUGUGGCUCCCUCGGGAGUGUUAUAGCCCGCUACGUAAUACCCUGCGCCGGACUGAGGUACGCGCAUUGCAAGGAUGCUGGCGUAAUGGUCAUCAGCGACCCGUCUUGAAACACGGACCAAGGAGUCGUCUUCGUAUGCGAGUGUUCGGGUGUCAAACCCCUACGCGUAAUGAAAGUGAACGCAGGUGAGAGCUUCGGCGCAUCAUCGACCGAUCCUGAUGUUCUCGGAUGGAUUUGAGUAAGAGCAUACGGGGCCGGACCCGAAAGAAGGUGAACUAUGCCUGUAUAGGGUGAAGCCAGAGGAAACUCUGGUGGAGGCUCGCAGCGGUUCUGACGUGCGAAUCGAUCGUCAAAUAUGGGCAUGGGGGCGAAAGACUAAU